This 266-nucleotide ribosomal RNA is filed under the name uncultured bacterium. Its description in RNAcentral is "partial 16S ribosomal RNA". It matches the Rfam family "Bacterial small subunit ribosomal RNA", at positions 793 to 1055 of the family's 1533-position model. The record is from RNAcentral.
GUCCACGCCGUAAACGAUGGGUGCUAGGUGUCAGGGGCUUUGACCCCUCUGGUGCCGUAGCUAACGCAUUAAGCACCCCGCCUGGGGAGUACGGCCGCAAGGCUAAAACUCAAAGGAAUUGACGGGGGCCCGCACAAGCGGUGGAGCAUGUGGUUCAAUUCGACGCAACGCGCAGAACCUUACCUGGGCUAGAAAAUGCAGGGACCUGGUUGAAAAAUCGGGGUGCCUUUCGGGGAACCUGUAGUUAGGUGCUGCAUGGCUGUCGU